CCUACGGGAGGCAGCAGUGAGGAAUAUUUGUCAAUGGACGAGAGUCUGAACCAGCCAAGUAGCGUGAAGGAUGACUGCCCUAUGGGUUGUAAACUUCUUUUAUAUGGGAAUAAAAUGUUCCACGUGUGGGCUUUUGUAUGUACCAUAUGAAUAAGGAUCGGCUAACUCCGUGCCAGCAGCCGCGGUAAUACGGAGGAUCCGAGCGUUAUCCGGAUUUAUUGGGUUUAAAGGGAGCGUAGGUGGAUUGUUAAGUCAGUUGUGAAAGUUUGCGGCUCAACCGUAAAAUUGCAGUUGAAACUGGCAGUCUUGAGUACAGUAGAGGUGGGCGGAAUGCGUGGUGUAGCGGUGCAAUGCUUAGAUAUCACGAAGAACUCCGAUUGCGAAGGCAGCUCACUGGACUGCAACUGACACUGAGGCUCGAAAGUGUGGGUAUCAAACAGGAUUAGAUACCCGAGUAGUC
This 460-nucleotide ribosomal RNA is filed under the name uncultured bacterium. RNAcentral's name for it is "partial 16S ribosomal RNA". It matches the Rfam family "Bacterial small subunit ribosomal RNA", at positions 338 to 795 of the family's 1533-position model. The record is from RNAcentral.